AUUGAACGCUGGCGGCAGGCCUAACACAUGCAAGUCGAGCGGAUGAAGGGAGCUUGCUCCUGGAUUCAGCGGCGGACGGGUGAGUAAUGCCUAGGAAUCUGCCUGGUAGUGGGGGAUAACGUCUGGAAACGGGCGGUAAUACCGCAUACGUCCUGAGGGAGAAAGUGGGGGAUCUUCGGACCUCUUGCUAUCAGAUGAGCCUAGGUCGGAUUAGCUAGUUGGUGGGGUAAAGGCCUACCAAGGCGACGAUCCGUAACUGGUCUGAGAGGAUGAUCAGUCACACUGGAACUUAGACACGGUCCAGACUCCUACGGGAGGCAGCAGUGGGGAAUAUUGGACAAUGGGCGAAAGCCUGAUCCAGCCAUGCCGCGUGUGUGAAGAAGGUCUUCGGAUUGUAAAGCACUUUAAGUUGGGAGGAAGGGCAGUAAGUUAAUACCUUGCUGUUUUGACGUUACCAACAGAAUAAGCACCGGCUAACUUCGUG
This 484-nucleotide ribosomal RNA is filed under the name uncultured bacterium. Its description in RNAcentral is "partial 16S ribosomal RNA". It matches the Rfam family "Bacterial small subunit ribosomal RNA", at positions 30 to 507 of the family's 1533-position model. The record is from RNAcentral.